GACGAACGCUGGCGGCGUGCUUAACACAUGCAUGUCGAACGGACUAUUUCAUUUCGAAAGUCGAGUGGCAAACGGGUGAGUAACGCGUAGACAACCUGCCUUUGAGAUGGGGACAACAGUUCGAAAGGACUGCUAAUACCGAAUGUUGUAUAUUUUCCACAUGGAAGAUAUAUUAAAGAUGGCCUCUAUUUAUAAGCUAUCGCUCAAAGAUGGGUCUGCGUCUGAUUAGCUGGUUGGUGGGGUAACGGCCUACCAAGGCGACGAUCAGUAGCCGGUCUGAGAGGAUGAACGGCCACAUUGGGACUGAGACACGGCCCAGACUCCUACGGGAGGCAGCAGUGGGGAAUCUUCCACAAUGGACGAAAGUCUGAUGGAGCAACGCCGCGUGAGUGAAGAAGGGUUUCGGCUCGUAAAGCUCUGUUGUCGGGGACGAAUGUGCAGUAUUUGAAUAAAGUACUGUAAUGACGGUACCUGACGAGGAAGCCACGGCUAACUACGUGCCAACAGCAGCCGCCG
This 516-nucleotide ribosomal RNA is filed under the name uncultured bacterium. RNAcentral describes it as "partial 16S ribosomal RNA". It matches the Rfam family "Bacterial small subunit ribosomal RNA", at positions 28 to 520 of the family's 1533-position model. The record is from RNAcentral.